UUGGUUGUCGUCAGCUCGUGUCGUGAGAUGUUGGGUUAAGUCCCGCAACGAGCGCAACCCCUAUGUUUAGUUGCUAGCGAGUAAAGUCGAGCACUCUAGACAGACUGCCGGUGAUAAACCGGAGGAAGUGGGGAUGGCGUCAAAUCAUCAUGCCCCUUAUGUUCUGGGCUACACACGUGCUACAAUGGCCGGUACAAACGGAAGCGAAGCCGCGAGGUGAAGCAAAUCUGAUAAAACCGGUCUCAGUUCGGAUUGCAGGCUGCAACUCGCCUGCAUGAAGUCGGAAUCGCUCGUAAUCGCAGGUCAGCAUACUGCGGUGAAUACGUUCCCGGGCCUU
Molecule: ribosomal RNA, 337 nt
Filed under: uncultured Desulfosporosinus sp.
Lineage: Bacteria; Bacillati; Bacillota; Clostridia; Eubacteriales; Desulfitobacteriaceae
Description: bacterial SSU rRNA
Rfam family: Bacterial small subunit ribosomal RNA
Source: RNAcentral